Molecule: ribosomal RNA, 253 nt
Filed under: uncultured bacterium
Lineage: Bacteria
Description: partial 16S ribosomal RNA
Rfam family: Bacterial small subunit ribosomal RNA
Source: RNAcentral
UACAGAGGUCCCAAGCGUUGUUCGGAUUCAUUGGGCGUAAAGGGUGCGUAGGUGGCGAGGCAAGUCAGAUGUGAAAUCCCGGGGCUCAACCCCGGAACUGCAUUUGAAACUGCCUUGCUCGAGUACUGGAGAGGAGACUGGAAUUUACGGUGUAGCAGUGAAAUGCGUAGAUAUCGUAAGGAAGACCAGUGGCGAAGGCGAGUCUCUGGACAGUUACUGACACUGAGGCACGAAGGCCAGGGGAGCAAACAGG